Molecule: long non-coding RNA, 1041 nt
Filed under: Monodelphis domestica (gray short-tailed opossum)
Lineage: Eukaryota; Metazoa; Chordata; Mammalia; Didelphimorphia; Didelphidae
Description: lncRNA (ENSMODG00000048477.1)
Source: RNAcentral
AUGGGUGGCCUCACAGCAACCCGACGUCAACGCCCACCCCCACCCCAGUCCCAGUCCCAGUGGAUCCGGGGAGGUGGGGGGUGGGGGGGUUGGAGGUCUUCUCCACUGGCAGUGGCGACUACCCUCCUCACUCGACCUCACUCGGAAGGCGCCUCCCUAAGUCUCGGUCUCGCCUCUCUCAGCGGUCCGGGUCUUCUUCUUGAGGAACAGUGCUGGGCCUCCCCCACGGGCCAAAUCCAAUCCGCUGUAAUCUUAUUCCUGUCACAGGAGCCGCGGGCGGCGGACACGGCGGCGGCAGCGGCGGCGGCGGCGGCGGCAAAGGCACCGCCUCCUCCUCCUCCUCCUCACUCCGCCUCGCUCCCGGGGAUGAGGAGGGUCUCAGUCUCUCUCGCGCACUCGCGCUCGAGCCCGGGAAUAAGGAGGGUCCCGCGCUCGCGCCCGUGGAUAAGGAGGGUCUCGCGCUCGCGCACCUCUCCUCGCGCCUGCGGCCGCCCAGGGCCACAGCAGCUGGCAAGGCGUGUGCGCGACACAGAGCCAGGCAGCUACAGCUACGGGCUUGGCUCCCUUCGCAGCGCCCACCGAAGAGCUGGGGGCAUCGCACCCCUAAGCUGGGGUGGGGUUGGGUGGGGCGAGGAGGGAAGCAAACCCCGCUGCUCCCAGGCCCUCCUACCGGGAUCUGGAAAAGGCGGAGCGAACCAGGAAAGGAGAGCGCGUGCGUGGGGGCGCGUGCGCCCCCGCCCCGCAGUGUCCUAUACUGUAAGAGGAGGGGCAGAGAUAGGAGGAGGAGAUGGGAUUGGGGCCACCCUGCAAGCCCAAAUCUUAUCUAUAGGAGUUCUCAGCAUCUUAGGAUCGUAGAUUCACUCCUGGAAGGCACUGUAUAGCCCUACAGUCUUCGUUUAAAGGAUGGGAAAACUGAAGCAUCUAGAGGUUGAGUGACUUGCCCAAGGUCACACAGUAAGUGUUGAGUUGUCUUCAUGAGGCACAUCCUUAGCCCUUACUAAAUAUUUAUUCAAUUGAAAUGUCAAAUGUUGAAUCCAGGCC